RNAcentral lists this ribosomal RNA (2398 nucleotides) under Escherichia coli. RNAcentral describes it as "partial 23S ribosomal RNA". It matches the Rfam family "Bacterial large subunit ribosomal RNA", at positions 548 to 2925 of the family's 2925-position model. Lineage: Bacteria; Pseudomonadati; Pseudomonadota; Gammaproteobacteria; Enterobacterales; Enterobacteriaceae. The record is from RNAcentral.
ACCUGAAACCGUGUACGUACAAGCAGUGGGAGCACAGAGCAAUCUGUGUGACUGCGUACCUUUUGUAUAAUGGGUCAGCGACUUAUAUUCUGUAGCAAGGUUAACCGAAUAGGGGAGCCGAAGGGAAACCGAGUCUUAACUGGGCGUUAAGUUGCAGGGUAUAGACCCGAAACCCGGUGAUCUAGCCAUGGGCAGGUUGAAGGUUGGGUAACACUAACUGGAGGACCGAACCGACUAAUGUUGAAAAAUUAGCGGAUGACUUGUGGCUGGGGGUGAAAGGCCAAUCAAACCGGGAGAUAGCUGGUUCUCCCCGAAAGCUAUUUAGGUAGCGCCUCGUGAAUUCAUCUCCGGGGGUAGAGCACUGUUUCGGCAAGGGGGUCAUCCCGACUUACCAACCCGAUGCAAACUGCGAAUACCGGAGAAUGUUAUCACGGGAGACACACGGCGGGUGCUAACGUCCGUCGUGAAGAGGGAAACAACCCAGACCGCCAGCUAAGGUCCCAAAGUCAUGGUUAAGUGGGAAACGAUGUGGGAAGGCCCAGACAGCCAGGAUGUUGGCUUAGAAGCAGCCAUCAUUUAAAGAAAGCGUAAUAGCUCACUGGUCGAGUCGGCCUGCGCGGAAGAUGUAACGGGGCUAAACCAUGCACCGAAGCUGCGGCAGCGACACUGUGUGUUGUUGGGUAGGGGAGCGUUCUGUAAGCCUGUGAAGGUGUGCUGUGAGGCAUGCUGGAGGUAUCAGAAGUGCGAAUGCUGACAUAAGUAACGAUAAAGCGGGUGAAAAGCCCGCUCGCCGGAAGACCAAGGGUUCCUGUCCAACGUUAAUCGGGGCAGGGUGAGUCGACCCCUAAGGCGAGGCCGAAAGGCGUAGUCGAUGGGAAACAGGUUAAUAUUCCUGUACUUGGUGUUACUGCGAAGGGGGGACGGAGAAGGCUAUGUUGGCCGGGCGACGGUUGUCCCGGUUUAAGCGUGUAGGCUGGUUUUCCAGGCAAAUCCGGAAAAUCAAGGCUGAGGCGUGAUGACGAGGCACUACGGUGCUGAAGCAACAAAUGCCCUGCUUCCAGGAAAAGCCUCUAAGCAUCAGGUAACAUCAAAUCGUACCCCAAACCGACACAGGUGGUCAGGUAGAGAAUACCAAGGCGCUUGAGAGAACUCGGGUGAAGGAACUAGGCAAAAUGGUGCCGUAACUUCGGGAGAAGGCACGCUGAUAUGUAGGUGAAGUCCCUCGCGGAUGGAGCUGAAAUCAGUCGAAGAUACCAGCUGGCUGCAACUGUUUAUUAAAAACACAGCACUGUGCAAACACGAAAGUGGACGUAUACGGUGUGACGCCUGCCCGGUGCCGGAAGGUUAAUUGAUGGGGUCAGCGCAAGCGAAGCUCUUGAUCGAAGCCCCGGUAAACGGCGGCCGUAACUAUAACGGUCCUAAGGUAGCGAAAUUCCUUGUCGGGUAAGUUCCGACCUGCACGAAUGGCGUAAUGAUGGCCAGGCUGUCUCCACCCGAGACUCAGUGAAAUUGAACUCGCUGUGAAGAUGCAGUGUACCCGCGGCAAGACGGAAAGACCCCGUGAACCUUUACUAUAGCUUGACACUGAACAUUGAGCCUUGAUGUGUAGGAUAGGUGGGAGGCUUUGAAGUGUGGACGCCAGUCUGCAUGGAGCCGACCUUGAAAUACCACCCUUUAAUGUUUGAUGUUCUAACGUGGACCCGUGAUCCGGGUUGCGGACAGUGUCUGGUGGGUAGUUUGACUGGGGCGGUCUCCUCCUAAAGAGUAACGGAGGAGCACGAAGGUUGGCUAAUCCUGGUCGGACAUCAGGAGGUUAGUGCAAUGGCAUAAGCCAGCUUGACUGCGAGCGUGACGGCGCGAGCAGGUGCGAAAGCAGGUCAUAGUGAUCCGGUGGUUCUGAAUGGAAGGGCCAUCGCUCAACGGAUAAAAGGUACUCCGGGGAUAACAGGCUGAUACCGCCCAAGAGUUCAUAUCGACGGCGGUGUUUGGCACCUCGAUGUCGGCUCAUCACAUCCUGGGGCUGAAGUAGGUCCCAAGGGUAUGGCUGUUCGCCAUUUAAAGUGGUACGCGAGCUGGGUUUAGAACGUCGUGAGACAGUUCGGUCCCUAUCUGCCGUGGGCGCUGGAGAACUGAGGGGGGCUGCUCCUAGUACGAGAGGACCGGAGUGGACGCAUCACUGGUGUUCGGGUUGUCAUGCCAAUGGCACUGCCCGGUAGCUAAAUGCGGAAGAGAUAAGUGCUGAAAGCAUCUAAGCACGAAACUUGCCCCGAGAUGAGUUCUCCCUGACCCUUUAAGGGUCCUGAAGGAACGUUGAAGACGACGACGUUGAUAGGCCGGGUGUGUAAGCGCAGCGAUGCGUUGAGCUAACCGGUACUAAUGAACCGUGAGGCUUAACCUU